AUUGAACGCUGGCGGCAUGCCUUACACAUGCAAGUCGAACGGCAGCACGGGAGCAAUCCUGGUGGCGAGUGGCGAACGGGUGAGUAAUAUAUCGGAACGUGCCCAGUCGUGGGGGAUAACGCAGCGAAAGCUGUGCUAAUACCGCAUACGAUCUCAGGAUGAAAGCGGGGGAUCGCAAGACCUCGCGCGCUUGGAGCGGCCAAUAUCAGAUUAGCUAGUUGGGGGGGUAAAGGCCCACCAAGGCGACGAUCUGUAGCUGGUCUGAGAGGACGACCAGCCACACUGGAAAUGAGACACGGUCCAGACUCCUACGGGAGGCAGCAGUGGGGAAUUUUGGACAAUGGGCGCAAGCCUGAUCCAGCAAUGCCGCGUGCAGGAUGAAGGCCUUCGGGCUGUAAACUGCUUUUGUACGGAACGAAACGGCCCUUUCUAAUACAGGGGGCUAAUGACGGUACCGUAAGAAUAAGCACCGGCUAACUACGUGCCAGCCGCCGCCGUAA
This 500-nucleotide ribosomal RNA is filed under the name uncultured bacterium. RNAcentral describes it as "partial 16S ribosomal RNA". It matches the Rfam family "Bacterial small subunit ribosomal RNA", at positions 30 to 523 of the family's 1533-position model. The record is from RNAcentral.